RNAcentral lists this ribosomal RNA (253 nucleotides) under uncultured bacterium. RNAcentral's name for it is "partial 16S ribosomal RNA". It matches the Rfam family "Bacterial small subunit ribosomal RNA", at positions 524 to 776 of the family's 1533-position model. The record is from RNAcentral.
UACGAAGGGGGCUAGCGUUGCUCGGAAUCACUGGGCGUAAAGCGCACGUAGGCGGAUUGCUAAGUCAGGCGUGAAAGCCCCGGGCUCAACCUGGGAGGUGCGCUUGGGACUGGCGGGCUGGAGUUCGGGAGAGGAGCGUGGAAUUCCCAGUGUAGAGGUGAAAUUCGUAGAUAUUGGGAAGAACACCGGUGGCGAAGGCGGCGCUCUGGACCGAGACUGACGCUGAGGCGCGAAGGCGUGGGGAGCAAACAGG